AUUCCAAAAAAAUCCUUCUCACUUCCACACUCACAUAUCCUUAGCCGUAACCUCUUCAUCGAGCUCUCUCCGGAUCUGCCGCACGGUGCCCUCUCGCCGCGCCUCCUCCUCUCGGCGUCCCUGUCGUGCCUCGUCCCUUGUAUUCUACUCAUCCCUUGUAUUUCGCCGCGCCUCUGUCCCUCUCUCCCUCGCCGCGUCUCGCCUACGUGCCUCCGUGCUUCCAUGCUUCCCUCGCCUCGCCGCGCCGUGCCUCCGUCCCUCCCUCACUGCGCCGCCGCUCCGUCCCUCGCGCCUGGUUUCGCUGCCUCGCGCCUGCUCCCGUGGCUUCCAUUUCAGACAGAGCCCAGGACUAGGAUUGAAUAGUGUGGCUAAUGACAAACUUGCAUCAAUAUGACUCUAAAAUUGAAUAGAAUGUCCAAUAGAUGAUCAUCAGAUCAUAACAAAUGGGAAGUACAAGAGCUGCAUGCAUAGGGCAAUUACAAAUCCUGAUCGCGCAAGACUAUUAGUGGCAACAUUUCAUGAUCCAGCGAAGACGGUUAGGAUCUCCCCAGCUUCUGAACUGAUAAAUGAAUCAUCGCCAGCCAAAUACCGGGGUGUUGUUUAUGGAGACUAUGUAAAAUCAUGAUAUACCAAAGGCCCUGAAGGAAAAAGAAACAUUGAUGCUCUUCUGCUUGAAUCUUAGCUUCUUGUGUUUUCUCCUUAGCCUUGUGUUUUAUUGAAUGUAGCAGGUCUAUUCAAGUUGAUUCUUGAAUUGAAUAUAACAUGAUAUAGCAGUUCUAAUCAGAUUUAUCUUUGAAUAUCAUCUUUGACUUCAAAAUGGGUCUUUAAAGACCAUUUUGAAGUAUAUUUGCUAUCAGAUAACAUUACUGAGUAUCACAUUGUAUGUCUAAUCUUGGCAUGUGUAGUUUUUGCUUAUUAAGAAUUUGUUUUUGUAUAUCAGAAGUUUAUUGUCACUAACCAAUUUGUUUAAAUUUGAUAGUUCCAGCAUGAACUUUACGUGUCCUUCAUAUUGCGAGCUUAAUAAUUUCUUGCUGGUGUAUAAUGUAUAUGCUUUACACUUUCUGAAUUGCUGUGUUAUUUACACCAGGUGAAGAAAAUUACAGUACACACAAUGAAAGAUAUGGUUGAAAAAUUGGAGAAAGCACGGUCUGGGAAAAGUGAGGUUUAGGAUGGUUGCAUAUAUUUACUGAUGAACUGAAGUCCUCUCUCAGAAUUCUUCUCGACUCAAAACCGUCCGUUAUCAAUGUUAUUAUUGAUCUCUAUGCUAGUUCAGGGAGUGGGAGACUGCAACACAAGAACUGAUUUUCAGAUUUUAAAUUUCAAUAACACAAAUUACAUAGUCUUGUGGUUUUUUAUUGUGUACCAUGAUAUGAUAAAGACAUAAAUUAUAUUCUAUGAAUCCACACAAAUGUAAAAUGUUACAUUAUCAUAAUGAAUACUUGAUGGAUGAAAACUGAAUU
Molecule: non-coding RNA, 1460 nt
Organism: Arachis ipaensis
Lineage: Eukaryota; Viridiplantae; Streptophyta; Magnoliopsida; Fabales; Fabaceae
Source: RefSeq, a predicted model, not a curated record